Molecule: ribosomal RNA, 497 nt
Filed under: uncultured bacterium
Lineage: Bacteria
Description: partial 16S ribosomal RNA
Rfam family: Bacterial small subunit ribosomal RNA
Source: RNAcentral
GAUGAACGCUGGCGGCGUGCCUAAUACAUGCAAGUCGAGCGAACGGACGAGAAGCUUGCUUCUCUGAUGUUAGCGGCGGACGGGUGAGUAACACGUGGAUAACCUACCUAUAAGACUGGGAUAACUUCGGGAAACCGGAGCUAAUACCGGAUAAUAUUUUGAACCGCAUGAUUCAAAAGUGAAAGACGGUCUUGCUGUCACUUAUAGAUGGAUCCGCGCUGCAUUAGCUAGUUGGUAAGGUAACGGCUUACCAAGGCAACGAUGCAUAGCCGACCUGAGAGGGUGAUCGGCCACACUGGAACUGAGACACGGUCCAGACUCCUACGGGAGGCAGCAGUAGGGAAUCUUCCGCAAUGGGCGAAAGCCUGACGGAGCAACGCCGCGUGAGUGAUGAAGGUCUUCGGAUCGUAAAACUCCGUUAUUAGGGAAGAACAUAUGUGUAAGUAACUGUGCACAUCUUGACGGUACCUAAUCAGAAAGCCACGGCUAACUACGUG